Molecule: transfer RNA, 72 nt
Filed under: Ovis aries (sheep)
Lineage: Eukaryota; Metazoa; Chordata; Mammalia; Artiodactyla; Bovidae
Rfam family: tRNA
About the family: Transfer RNA (tRNA) molecules are approximately 80 nucleotides in length.
Source: Rfam by way of RNAcentral
UCUCUGGUAGCUCAGUUGGUAAAGAAUCUGCCUGCAAUGCAGGAGACCCAGGUUCAAUUCCUGGGUUGGGAA